This is an RNA transcript of Tripterygium wilfordii, 2447 nucleotides long. RefSeq lists it as uncharacterized. NCBI's taxonomy places the organism in Eukaryota, Viridiplantae, Streptophyta, Magnoliopsida, Celastrales, Celastraceae. The record is from RefSeq and is a predicted model, not a curated record. The transcript is spliced from 5 exons.
GACAUCCUAAGAACGCAUACAGGGCUUAAGCCCAAGUAUUCAACAUUGAUGGAUUGUUUAAUAGUACGACAACCGAUUGUAUCAGACUUGGUGAUUAUGACGGUCUUCUCCAGCUCCAACAUCACCAAUCCAACGAAAACCUGAAUAUUCCAUUCUUCUUCACGUACAAUCGACAUAUCACAACAUCAUUCUCCUUUUGCUGCAAAGUUAUAAUGCCAGGUUUGGAUAGCAGCUUUCCGAUGUAAUUAAUUUUUUUAAGGAAUUUGAUCGAUAGCAAAACCAUUGAUGUUUGGUGAAGGGCUAUCUGGAGGCGAAAUCAAAGUGUUCUCUGUUUCAUCGAGCUUAAUUAACAAUCAAUCUUGGCUGGAGAAUGUUACUGCUUGGCUUCAGCGGAAAUGAUUCAGGGUACACUGGCUUUUGGUGUUGAUGUUGUUUUGAGUUCCAAGCUACUGGUGUUCAAACUAUUUAAGACAGAGCUAGUGGCUAGGUUUCUCAGACUUGAAAGUGGUAUCGGAGCUGUGUUUCUUAAUGACUUGUGAAGAAAUUGAUUUGACAGAAGCUAUUUUCAGUAAGGUUUUUUCUCAAAUCUCUACAUCCUGUCUCAGUCUUCCUUACCUCCUCCCCUUAUUUUUAAAGGUGAAAACUUUGAUUACCGGGCAGCAAGGAUGGAGCCCUUCUUUUAUGGCCAAUGGUUUAUGGCACUUGAUUGAGGAUGGGUUUGAUCUUGACUCCUUGUCAAAUAACCCUACUAUUCAAGAGCUUAAAGAUUUCAAUGAUCUAAAGCUUAAGAACAUUAAAGCUCUUAUCAUUUUGCAUUCUGCCAUUGACGAAAAAAUUAUCUUUAGAAUUAUGGGUAUCAAAGUAGUUAAGGCUGCUUGGGAUAAACUUAAAGAAGAGUUUCAGGGGAGUGUAAGAGUGAGGCAUUAGAGGUUGUUAACUCUUAAAAGAGUGUUUGAAAUGCUGAAAAUGAAUGAUUUAGAGACUGUUGGGGAUUAUUCAAACAAGCUGAUUGAGAUUAUUAAUCAAAUGAAAUUACAUGAGGAAGUUGUCUCAGAUUACAAGGUAGUUGAGAUGUGGAUAAGCUUGCCUGAUAGAUUUGAGGCUAAGAUCUUAGCUAUUGAGGAAUCUUGUGAUUUGAGUAAGCUUACCAUUGUUGAGUUGUGUAGUAAAUUACAAGCUCAGGAGUUGAGAUUUACUAGAAAGUCAGAAGAGGCACAAAGGGAAUCAUACCUCAGGUACAAAGGAAGGCAAGAAGAAAUUUUUUGACAAGGCUGGAAAAGGGAAGUCUCCAGAAAGUUCCAUUUCUGGAGAUCAAUCAAAGAAUGGCAAGUUUCCACCUUGUUCUCACCGCAAUAAGACUAAUCAUCCUGAAAAGUCUUGUUGGAAAAAGUAUGGGAGGCCUCAAUACAGGUUUUGCAUAAAAGUGUGACAUAUUGAGAAGUAUUGCAAAGAGAAGCAAAAUCAGGGGCAACCAGGAGGCUCAGCUUCUCAUGAAGUAAAUUUCACUAAUGAACAGCAAGUGCAUGAUCAUUUUUUUAUGCAAUUGGUUGUUCUGUAGUUCCUAGAAAUGGAGUGUUGCUUAUUGACAGUGGGUGCACUAGUAAUAUGGCCAAGGAUGUCAAUAUGUGUUCAACUCUGGACAAGACUCUUAGAACCAGGGUAACUUUGGGAAAUGGUGAAGUGGUGCAACAUGAAGGCAAGGGUUCAGUGCCUCUGAGUGCCAAGCAAGCAAAAUAAGAAGUGUGCAAAAUUCCACAACCAGGGCAUUGAGAAUAAGGAAGAACUCCAUUUCUUUUUUGGAGGUCAAGGAGUCACCGGCAUUCAUGCUUUCAAUCCAUCUGCUAACCCACCUACUAACGAGGUUGAUGAAGGUUCACAGCCCUUAGAGCAAGGACAAAGGGGAACUAAGGAUCUCCCUCUCUUAGGUGAUGAGGAUUCCACUGAUCUAGAGUAUGAUGCAAAUGCAUAUGUGCAUGCCGAUACGCAGAGUUCGCCAACUCCACCACCUCAUGCUUGUAGGAGGUCUACCACUCCCGCUCCUCACGAUAAAUGAAAGAGGAAGGCCAUUGAUGUUCGUGAAGAGAUCAAUAACUCAUUAGGAUAGUUGGUUGCUACAGUGAAUAGCUGUACUUCUAUUAGUAUUAUUGUAUACAACAAUAGGGAUAUAGAUGAUGUUAUGCUUAUAUUGAAAGAGUUUUCAAAGAGAUCCAAUGGGGACCUCUACUAAAGUGUACAUUGAAGUUGUUCGAGAAACAAGAGAAUCGGGAUUGGUUUAUGUGUAUAGCGAGAAUGAAAUGGCAAUUGGAGUGGUCACUUGUGAAGUUUGAUGAGUCCACUGAUGGGGGACCAAGUGAUGCUUCAAGGGCUUGAUGCUAUAUUCAGCAUCUGUUUUUAUUCUACUCUAUUAUUAUUAUUUGAAUUGAAUUAAGUUUUGUUUUUAUUUACCA